This 105-nucleotide small nuclear RNA is filed under the name Ursus maritimus (polar bear). The record is from RNAcentral. Lineage: Eukaryota; Metazoa; Chordata; Mammalia; Carnivora; Ursidae.
GUGCUCGCUUUGGCAGCACAUAUUACUAAAACUGGAACGAUACAGAGAUUAGCAUGGUCCCUGUACAAGGAUGACAUGCAAAUUUGUGAAGCGUUCCAUAUUAAA